CGCAAAUAUUGGAUACAUCCCAUAAUAAAUGAGAGGAAAAAUAGAGGAUUUUUUUACACACUGUAUGACGAACUUAACGGAGAUCCAGAUAAAUUCUUUAAUUUUACCAGAAUGUCAAGAGGAACAUUCCAAGAAUUGUUGUCAAUAAUUAAAGAUUCAUGUUCAAAAAGAAAUACCACCAUGAGGGAAAGCAUACCAGUAGAAGAAAAGCUUCUUAUAACUUCAAGCAAAAUAGCAUUUGAAAUAAUUGGGUUAUAUCCGUAUCUUGGGAAUACGAGCUUCCAGGCGACAUCAAAGGGGAUUCAGUACUCUGCCGCUGAAUCCCAGAAGGCCCAGCUUGGGGCUCUUGUUGUGAAGGACUUUGGUUGAAGUCUAGAAGUCCGGAAGGUCCAGCAUGUGGAUUUAAAUAUUGCCAUUGAUGUAGUAUUCCAAAUUGGUGGCUUGGAGCCUGGGUGGGAAUUUGGUUAUACGGUAAUUGUGGUACCUAGCUACUGGCAAUUCAUUUGUCGAUUUGCACUAUGCUUUUAGAAUUGGAAAAUCCACAGCAAGUUUAGUCACCC
This is a long non-coding RNA of Leptinotarsa decemlineata (Colorado potato beetle), 560 nucleotides long. The record is from RefSeq and is a predicted model, not a curated record. Lineage: Eukaryota; Metazoa; Arthropoda; Insecta; Coleoptera; Chrysomelidae.